Small nucleolar RNA from Gambusia affinis (western mosquitofish), 131 nucleotides. The record is from Ensembl. NCBI's taxonomy places the organism in Eukaryota, Metazoa, Chordata, Actinopteri, Cyprinodontiformes, Poeciliidae.
UCUGAGGUCUAUCCCGACGGGCCCUUCAUGUAGGGCCAAGUCGUUGGAAAUGCCUCAAAGACGAAAUCUGUGGUUUCGCUUUACCCAGGUGUUCUGCUGUGAGCAUUAUGGGAUACAACUGCAGGACAACA